CUGUGAGCUCGAUGAGUAGGGCGGGACACGUGGUAUCCUGUCUGAAUAUGGGGGGACCAUCCUCCAAGGCUAAAUACUCCUGACUGACCGAUAGUGAACCAGUACCGUGAGGGAAAGGCGAAAAGAACCCCGGCGAGGGGAGUGAAAAAGAACCUGAAACCGUGUACGUACAAGCAGUGGGAGCACAGAGCAAUCUGUGUGACUGCGUACCUUUUGUAUAAUGGGUCAGCGACUUAUAUUCUGUAGCAAGGUUAACCGAAUAGGGGAGCCGAAGGGAAACCGAGUCUUAACUGGGCGUUAAGUUGCAGGGUAUAGACCCGAAACCCGGUGAUCUAGCCAUGGGCAGGUUGAAGGUUGGGUAACACUAACUGGAGGACCGAACCGACUAAUGUUGAAAAAUUAGCGGAUGACUUGUGGCUGGGGGUGAAAGGCCAAUCAAACCGGGAGAUAGCUGGUUCUCCCCGAAAGCUAUUUAGGUAGCGCCUCGUGAAUUCAUCUCCGGGGGUAGAGCACUGUUUCGGCAAGGGGGUCAUCCCGA
Molecule: ribosomal RNA, 538 nt
Filed under: Escherichia coli
Lineage: Bacteria; Pseudomonadati; Pseudomonadota; Gammaproteobacteria; Enterobacterales; Enterobacteriaceae
Description: partial 23S ribosomal RNA
Rfam family: Bacterial large subunit ribosomal RNA
Source: RNAcentral